RNAcentral lists this ribosomal RNA (445 nucleotides) under Acanthamoeba sp. Had_2902. Its description in RNAcentral is "SSU rRNA". The stretch from base 1 to 386 matches the Rfam family "Eukaryotic small subunit ribosomal RNA", at positions 748 to 1114 of the family's 1831-position model. The record is from RNAcentral. Lineage: Eukaryota; Discosea; Longamoebia; Acanthamoebidae.
UCGUUUACCGUGAAAAAAUUAGAGUGUUCAAAGCAGGCAGAUUCAAUUUUCUGCCACCGAAUACAUUAGCAUGGGAUAAUGGAAUAGGACCCUGUCCUCCUAUUUUCAGUUGGUUUUGGCAGCGCGAGGACUAGGGUAAUGAUUAAUAGGGAUAGUUGGGGGCAUUAAUAUUUAAUUGUCAGAGGUGAAAUUCUUGGAUUUAUGAAAGAUUAACUUCUGCGAAAGCAUCUGCCAAGGAUGUUUUCAUUAAUCAAGAACGAAAGUUAGGGGAUCGAAGACGAUCAGAUACCGUCGUAGUCUUAACCAUAAACGAUGCCGACCAGCGAUUAGGAGACGUUGAAUACAAAACACCACCAUCGGCGCGGUCGUCCUUGGCGUUCGUGUUCACGCACGGGCGCGAGGGCGGCUUAGCCCGGUGGCACCGGUGAAUGACUCCCUAGCAGCU